This 489-nucleotide ribosomal RNA is filed under the name uncultured bacterium. RNAcentral's name for it is "bacterial SSU rRNA". It matches the Rfam family "Bacterial small subunit ribosomal RNA", at positions 29 to 494 of the family's 1533-position model. The record is from RNAcentral.
AACUAACGCUGGCGGCGUGCCUAACACAUGCAAGUCGUACGAGAAAGCCGGCUUCGGCUGGUGAGUAAAGUGGCGCACGGGUGAGUAACGCGUGGAUAAUCUGCCCUUAAGUGUGGAAUAACGUACCGAAAGGUGCGCUAAUACCGCAUAAUGCCUGGCAACACAAGUUGUCCGGCCAAAGAAGGCCUCUGUUUACAAGCUUUCGCUUCAGGAUGAGUCCGCGUACCAUUAGCUUGUUGGUGGGGUAAUGGCCUACCAAGGCUGCGAUGGUUAGCUGGUCUGAGAGGAUGAUCAGCCACACUGGAACUGAGACACGGUCCAGACUCCUACGGGAGGCAGGCAGUGAGGAAUAUUGCGCAAUGGGGGCAACCCUGACGCAGCAACGCCGCGUGAGUGAGGAGGUUUUCGGACUGUAAAGCUCUGUCGAGCGGGAAGAAGUGUACCAUGGCUAAUAUCCAUGAUAUUUGACGGUACCGACGUAGAGGAACG